GUAGGAAAUAUUGGGCAAUGGAGGCAACUCUGACCCAGCCAUGCCGCGUGCAGGAUGACGGCCCUCUGGGUUGUAAACUGCUUUUAUACGGGAAGAAAAAAUACUACGUGUAGUAUACUGACGGUACCGUAAGAAUAAGGAUCGGCUAACUCCGUGCCAGCAGCCGCGGUAAUACGGAGGAUCCAAGCGUUGUCCGGAUUUAUUGGGUUUAAAGGGUGCGUAGGCGGAUCUUUAAGUCAGUGGUGAAAGCCUGCAGCUUAACUGUAGAAUUGCCAUUGAAACUGAAGAUCUUGAAUGUGGUUAAAGUAGGCGGAAUGUAUCAUGUAGCGGUGAAAUGCUUAGAUAUGAUACAGAACACCGAUAGCGAAGGCAGCUUGCUGAACCAUUAUUGACGCUGAGGCACGAAAGCGUGGGGAGCGAACAGGAUUAGAUACCCCUGUAGUCC
RNAcentral lists this ribosomal RNA (445 nucleotides) under uncultured bacterium. RNAcentral describes it as "partial 16S ribosomal RNA". It matches the Rfam family "Bacterial small subunit ribosomal RNA", at positions 354 to 796 of the family's 1533-position model. The record is from RNAcentral.